This 393-nucleotide ribosomal RNA is filed under the name uncultured bacterium. RNAcentral's name for it is "partial 16S ribosomal RNA". It matches the Rfam family "Bacterial small subunit ribosomal RNA", at positions 523 to 918 of the family's 1533-position model. The record is from RNAcentral.
AUACGGAAGGUCCGGGCGUUAUCCGGAUUUAUUGGGUUUAAAGGGAGCGCAGGCGGAGAUGCAAGCGUGACGUCAAAUUUCGGGGCUCAACCCCGUCUCGCGUCGCGAACUGCGUCCCUUGGUUGCGGGAAGGGGAGGCGGAACUCGUGGUGUAGCGGUGAAAUGCAUAGAUAUCACGAAGAACUCCGAUCGCGAAGGCAGCCUUCCGGCCCGCCAACGACGCUCAUGCUCGAAGGUGCGGGUAUCAAACAGGAUUAGAUACCCUGGUAGUCCGCACAGUAAACGAUGGACACCCGCGGUUUGGCCUGUAUGGCUGAGCCGCCAAGCGAAAGCGUUAAGUGUCCCACCUGGGGAGUACGCCGGCAACGGUGAAACUCAAAGGAAUUGACGGGG